RNAcentral lists this ribosomal RNA (301 nucleotides) under uncultured bacterium. Its description in RNAcentral is "partial 16S ribosomal RNA". It matches the Rfam family "Bacterial small subunit ribosomal RNA", at positions 509 to 809 of the family's 1533-position model. The record is from RNAcentral.
CAGUAGCCGCGGUAAUACGAAGGGUGCAAGCGUUAAUCGGAAUUACUGGGCGUAAAGCGUGCGUAGGCGUUGAGUUAAGUCUGCUGUGAAAUCCCCGGGCUCAACCUGGGAAUGGCAGUGGAUACUGGCUCGCUAGAGUGUGUCAGAGGAUGGUGGAAUUCCCGGUGUAGCGGUGAAAUGCGUAGAGAUCGGGAGGAACAUCAGUGGCGAAGGCGGCCAUCUGGGACAACACUGACGCUGAGGCACGAAAGCGUGGGGAGCAAACAGGAUUAGAUACCCCCGUAGUCCCUGUCUCUUAUAA